UGGAUCAUAUAGCCUUGGCUGGUAGCAGGUCGUAGUGUGUGCGCAGGGUUGGAAUCUUUUCAGUGUAGCGACGGGUCUUGGGUAUCUGAUCUUUUCUUCUUGGGCGUUUGUUGCCAUCGGGGUCUCUGCGGUAGCUGAGGUGGAAGUGGUGUUUGCAGCGGUCCGUACCAGUCCAUGAUGUGUGGGUCUGUGAGGUUGAGGGCUUGUGUAAAGAGUGGUAUGUCCGCAUGGGAGUGUAUCGUGUGCUGAGUGCCCUUAUACGUGACACUCAGUGCCAGUGGGAAUCCCCACCUGUAUCUUAGGUUUCUGGAUCUUAAUUGGUCUGUAAUUGGUCGCAAAAUCCGUCUCGCUUGUAGUGUCAGCCAUGAGAGGUCGGGGUAGAUGGUUAUUGGGGCAUCAUGAAAUAGCAUAGGUUGUGAGGUCUGUUUCAGCGUGUGCAGUAUAUCUUCCCUGCAUGUGUGAUAGUGAAGCCUGCAAAUGACAUCUCUAGGCUUGUCAGUCGCUAUACCUCUGGGCUUCAGUGCCCUGUGUGCUCUAUCUAGUAGGAUGUGAUGGUCUCUUGGCUUACCCAGAAUUAAGUUGAAUAGUUCAUUCAGCGUCUGGUAGAUAUCUUCUUGUUCGUUUUCUGGGAGACCUCUGAUCCUUAGAUUGUUGCGG
This is a non-coding RNA of Pelobates cultripes (western spadefoot toad), 657 nucleotides long. NCBI's taxonomy places the organism in Eukaryota, Metazoa, Chordata, Amphibia, Anura, Pelobatidae. The record is from the annotation of a GenBank genome assembly.